GACACUGAACAUUGAGCCUUGAUGUGUAGGAUAGGUGGGAGGCUUUGAAGCGUGGACGCCAGUCUGCGUGGAGCCAACCUUGAAAUACCACCCUUUAAUGUUUGAUGUUCUAACGUUGGCCCCUUACCGGGGUUGCGGACAGUGUCUGGUGGGUAGUUUGACUGGGGCGGUCUCCUCCCAAAGCGUAACGGAGGAGCACGAAGGUUAGCUAAUCCUGGUCGGACAUCAGGAGGUUAGUGCAAUGGCAUA
This 249-nucleotide ribosomal RNA is filed under the name Klebsiella pneumoniae. RNAcentral's name for it is "partial 23S ribosomal RNA". It matches the Rfam family "Bacterial large subunit ribosomal RNA", at positions 2113 to 2361 of the family's 2925-position model. The record is from RNAcentral. Lineage: Bacteria; Pseudomonadati; Pseudomonadota; Gammaproteobacteria; Enterobacterales; Enterobacteriaceae.